AGCUUUGCACUGUAGCAGUAUUGUAGUAAAUGAGGUUUAUCCGAGGCGCGAUUAUCGCUAAUUGAAAACUUUUUCCAAUACCCUGCCAUGACGACUUGAAAUAUAGUUGGCAUUGGCAAUUUUGACAGUUCUAUGGAGAC
This is a small nuclear RNA of Lemur catta (Ring-tailed lemur), 140 nucleotides long. RefSeq annotates it as U4 spliceosomal RNA. The record is from RefSeq and is a predicted model, not a curated record. NCBI's taxonomy places the organism in Eukaryota, Metazoa, Chordata, Mammalia, Primates, Lemuridae. The transcript has a single exon.